CACAAGUACAAUCAAAUUUAUUAUUAGAUUUUGAUUGGGUAUUUCACCUUCAUUAACAAGAUAGAGAUGAGUGAUGGGAAUGUGCCUACAUAAAGACCUUAUCGUGGCUCAUUAAAAAACAAGAAAAAAAAAAAAAGCUGAUGUUCAAGUUUAUAAAUAAUUAUAAACUUGAACAUCUAACAUGAUCAUCACUUGUUAAAUAAUACUUUCCAGUUUCCUUUCCAUAUCUUAUUUUUACAGAAUUAAAAGAUGUCUACUCUAAAAACAUCUUAGGUUAAAAAUUAGUACAAAAUAUAAUGCUUAUUAAAACUGACAAAUACUUCUUAAAAAGUACAAAAGGAGUUUAAUUGUGCCGACAAAUCCUGUUUGUCUCCUACAUGGUCAGUUCUCCGUGAAAGCUUUUCUUCUCAUUUUCGCCUGAAUGAAAACCUACAAACAGAAAGGUCAGAGUUAGCUGAAGGAGCGCUGGUGAACAUGGAGCACGCAAACAACGCUGCAUCACGGGAGGCUGUGAUUACUGACGGAAGCAUUUUGGCAGAGGCGUACUCUCUCUCUGCGUCUCAUUCACUGCUCAGACAAACAUCCUGAGCGUCAGCAUGAAUUCACCCAGUCACAAGUAUAUCAUUAGGAGACAGGAGACGGGCUGUGAGAACAAUCUCCCUGCUAGCUUAUUACAGCAUCAUGUGGUUGCUGCUCAGAAUUCUUCUGAAUCCUUUCCAUUUGAGGUGCACGGCUUAAAACAAGGCCUACUUUUACUUCCUUUUUUCCGCUUUCUUUAUAUUAUUUUUAGUCAUCUGUAAAUACUUUUGUUGGUAAACCGAGCCAGCUUGUUACUCACAGUUUGCCUAUGGUCGUCUUCUCUUCUUUCGUGUCGUUUAUCAUGGCUGGUCUGUGCUCUGUAGCUGCAGGUGUCUCCACCUGCCAUGGUGGAGAUGGAGACACCUCCACCAUGGCUGGUUCAGCUUGUGGCAGGAUCCCACUGCAGGAGAACGGGGAUAUUUAUGAUCACUAAGAGUAUUUUAUAAGACAGGCUAAUAUUUCAUUUUAUGAGACAUGAUCGAUCUUGCUGCUUUAAAAUGACAACAAAUUAAAAAAAACAUGAUGUGAUUGACAAUGAAAUGUGAGGCUUCUAUAAUAUGCAUAUAUCCUUUUGCAUUCAUUGGCUAGUUGUGGUUCUUAUAUUUGUGCACUCAGUGUUAUAAUUACAUAGUC
Astatotilapia calliptera (eastern happy) is the source of this 1212-nucleotide long non-coding RNA. Lineage: Eukaryota; Metazoa; Chordata; Actinopteri; Cichliformes; Cichlidae. The record is from Ensembl.